UACAGAGGUGGCAAGCGUUGUUCGGAAUUACUGGGCGUAAAGGGCGCGUAGGCGGCCUUCUAGGUCAGACGUGAAAUCCCCAGGCUUAACUUGGGAACUGCGUCUGAUACUGGGAGGCUUGAGUGCGGGAGAGGGAUGUGGAAUUCCAGGUGUAGCGGUGAAAUGCGUAGAUAUCGGGAGGAACACCAGUGGCGAAGGCGACUACCUGGCCUGUUCUUGACGCUGAGGCGCGAAAGCUAGGGGAGCAAACGGG
RNAcentral lists this ribosomal RNA (253 nucleotides) under uncultured bacterium. RNAcentral describes it as "partial 16S ribosomal RNA". It matches the Rfam family "Bacterial small subunit ribosomal RNA", at positions 524 to 776 of the family's 1533-position model. The record is from RNAcentral.